Pongo abelii (Sumatran orangutan) is the source of this 80-nucleotide non-coding RNA. Lineage: Eukaryota; Metazoa; Chordata; Mammalia; Primates; Hominidae. The record is from Rfam.
ACGGAGACAUGGCAUGAAGCCGGAGAGUGAGAGACAUUAACUCAUUAGACUGGAACUUGAACUGAUUCACAUCUCAUUUU